GAACCGAAAAGGCAAACCUGUCGAAAGGCGGGGACGCAAAGCUACCGAUCUAAGGGAGAUUCCUAGGAUGGCGGGGCCACCGAA
Gammaproteobacteria bacterium SG8_31 is the source of this 84-nucleotide non-coding RNA. The record is from Rfam. NCBI's taxonomy places the organism in Bacteria, Pseudomonadati, Pseudomonadota, Gammaproteobacteria.